GACUGAGGAAGAUCAUCAGUGGGCUAUAUGGGCCAUAUGCAGGGUAUUUUACCCAGCCCACAGGAAAGUCUGAGACUGGUUCCUCCUAUGGCCCUAAUUAGGCUCUUCCCCAAGUGGGGAGGUGAGUUCUCAGAGAGCAGGGAUCCACCGGUGGGCAGACUGGACAGAGAGGCCUGGUGUGGGCAUGCCCCUGUCGCCAGAGGUUGGAACAGACCCAUGGCCAGCACAGCCAGUUCAAAUUCAAUCGGAGUGAUUGAUUACCCCGUAACAUUCUUGCUACUAUUAUUCCAGGGGUC
RNAcentral lists this RNase P RNA (296 nucleotides) under Peromyscus maniculatus bairdii (prairie deer mouse). RNAcentral's name for it is "Nuclear RNase P (ENSPEMG00000002483.2)". It matches the Rfam family "Nuclear RNase P". From Rfam's summary of the family: Ribonuclease P (RNase P) is a ubiquitous endoribonuclease, found in archaea, bacteria and eukarya as well as chloroplasts and mitochondria. Lineage: Eukaryota; Metazoa; Chordata; Mammalia; Rodentia; Cricetidae. The record is from RNAcentral.